AUACUUACCUGGCUAGCGAGAUACCAUAAUGAGGAAGGUGGUUUUCCCAGGGUGAGGCCUAGCCAUUGCACUACAUAUAUGUUGAUCCCUUCUCCAAAUGUAGAAAACUCAACUGCAUAAUUUGGGGUAGUAGGAAGCAGUGUUCACUACCAUGUGAAUGGUGUUCUCACUUUCCCCUG
Molecule: non-coding RNA, 179 nt
Organism: Erinaceus europaeus (western European hedgehog)
Lineage: Eukaryota; Metazoa; Chordata; Mammalia; Eulipotyphla; Erinaceidae
Source: Rfam